RNAcentral lists this long non-coding RNA (253 nucleotides) under Elaeis guineensis (African oil palm). RNAcentral describes it as "long non-coding RNA (EGUI_LNC014215)". The record is from RNAcentral. Lineage: Eukaryota; Viridiplantae; Streptophyta; Magnoliopsida; Arecales; Arecaceae.
UGCAUGGCCUCACCGUCAUGCUCUUCCUUCCCUCUCAAUGUGGAAAGGUGAAAGACUUUGUAUGGGAUGAAUAAGAAUAGGGUAGUCCCAAUAAUUUUUUUCCUAAACCAUGGUUAACCAAGGUCAACAUUUAAGGCGAACUAGCUAGAAUGAAAUGACGUGAUGAACUUUUAUUUACUUUUUCAAUAGGUGACAUGAUAAAAUAAGUCUAUCCAAUAAUUUCUCUAGAGUUUGAUGUUAUAAAAAUAGGAGG